AUGCAUGAUCCCCGGGAGCCGCACUUCACCGUCCUCAAGCGCAUCUUGCGUUACAUCCGUGGCACACCGCAGCUCGGCCUUCACCUCCGGCGCUCCUCCGACCACCGCCUCGUUGCAUACUCUGACACCGACUGGGCGGGUUGUCCUGACACCCGCAAGUCCACGUCGGGCUACUGCAUCUUCAUCGGCGACAACCUCGUCUCUUGGUCCUCCAAGCGGCAACAGACCGUCUCCUGGUCCAGCGCGGAUGCGGAAUACAGGGCGGUGGCCAAUGCCGUGGCCGAGGCGUGCUGGCUGCAUCAACUUCUGCACGAGCUGCGGCGUCCUCCGGAUCGAGCGACGAUCGUCUACUGCGACAACGUGAGCGCCAUGUACCUCUCCACCAACCCCGUGCAGCAUCAGCGCACGAAGCACAUCGAGAUCGACCUUCAUUUCGUGCGUGAGCGGGUUGCUUUCGGUGAUGUACGCGUCCUUCACGUCCCAUCCGCGUCGCAGUUCGCUGAUAUCUUCACGAAGGGGCUGCCCUUGACCGUCUUCCUCAACUUCCGGUCCAGCCUCAACGUGCUCGACGACCCCGUUGUGGCUGCGGGGGGCUGUUGGAAGACUACCGUUGCUGCCUCAACUAGAGGACUGAGUCCUACGUAG
Molecule: ribosomal RNA, 645 nt
Filed under: Triticum aestivum (bread wheat)
Lineage: Eukaryota; Viridiplantae; Streptophyta; Magnoliopsida; Poales; Poaceae
Description: partial small subunit ribosomal RNA
Source: RNAcentral